Molecule: non-coding RNA, 29 nt
Filed under: Mus musculus (house mouse)
Lineage: Eukaryota; Metazoa; Chordata; Mammalia; Rodentia; Muridae
Source: RNAcentral
UCCUGUUAGCGGUGACUCUGUGGAUGUGU